AGACUCCUACGGGAGGCAGCAGUGGGGAAUAUUGCACAAUGGGCGCAAGCCUGAUGCAGCGACGCCGCGUGAGGGAUGAAGGCCUUCGGGUUGUAAACCUCUUUCAGCAGGGAAGAAGCGCAAGUGACGGUACCUGCAGAAGAAGCGCCGGCUAACUACGUGCCAGCAGCCGCGGUAAUACGUAGGGCGCAAGCGUUGUCCGGAAUUAUUGGGCGUAAAGAGCUCGUAGGCGGUUUGUCGCAUCUGCUGUGAAAACUCGAGGCUCAACCUCGGGCUUGCAGUGGGUACGGGCAGACUAGAGUGCGGUAGGGGAGACUGGAAUUCCUGGUGUAGCGGUGGAAUGCGCAGAUAUCAGGAGGAACACCGAUGGCGAAGGCAGGUCUCUGGGCCACAACUGACGCUGAGGAGCGAAAGCAUGGGGAGCGAACAGGAUUAGAUACCCUGGUAGUCCAUGCCGUAAACGUUGGGCACUAGGUGUGGGGCUCAUUCCACGAGUUCCGUGCCGCAGCAAACGCAUUAAGUGCCCCGCCUGGGGAGUACGGCCGCAAGGCUAAAACUCAAAGAAAUUGACGGGGGCCCGCACAAGCGGCGGAGCAUGCGGAUUAAUUCGAUGCAACGCGAAGAACCUUACCAAGGCUUGACAUACACCGGAAACUUCCAGAGAUGGUUGCCCCGCAAGGUCGGUGUACAGGUGGUGCAUGGUUGUCGUCAGCUCGUGUCGUGAGAUGUUGGGUUAAGUCCCGCAACGAGCGCAACCCUCGUCCUAUGUUGCCAGCGGGUCAUGCCGGGGACUCAUAGGAGACUGCCGGGUCAACUCGAGGAGGCGGGACGACG
RNAcentral lists this ribosomal RNA (834 nucleotides) under uncultured bacterium. RNAcentral's name for it is "bacterial SSU rRNA". It matches the Rfam family "Bacterial small subunit ribosomal RNA", at positions 333 to 1184 of the family's 1533-position model. The record is from RNAcentral.